GCGCUUAACUGCGCGGGACUAAACCUUCACACUUGUUUAUUGUUAANUACUGUCAGUNGAGCGUGAGCUGGGGUGUAACACAUAACUAUAAGAUAUAAUCUUAACUUAACACUAGUCAUGAAAUUUUACCUAAAAUAAAAUAUUCAAAACUUUCAACAACGGAUCUCUGGGUUCUCGCAACGAUGAAGAACGCAGAAAAAUGCGAUACGUAAUAAGAAUCGCAGGUUUUCGUGAAUCAUCGAAUCUUUGAACGCACAUUGCGCCUUUGGGUAUUCCAGAAGGCACGCCUGUUUGAGCCUCAUUUCUUUCUCAGGGGGCCUCGGUUUAGUGGUAGAGAGGGGUACUCUAGCACAGGGUUAGCUUGAAAUAUCAGUAGUGAGAGUGGUCGAAGCGACUUUCUCUCUGGAUAAUAUAUUAGGUUCUCCCAACUCGUUACCCAGGUGUGAUGGAGCUUCAGCCAAUGCCUCCACUCCUCCUAUCUCAAAGUUUGACCUCAAAUCAGGUAGA
Molecule: ribosomal RNA, 507 nt
Filed under: Waltiozyma pijperi
Lineage: Eukaryota; Fungi; Ascomycota; Saccharomycetes; Phaffomycetales; Wickerhamomycetaceae
Description: Wickerhamomyces pijperi partial small subunit ribosomal RNA
Rfam family: 5.8S ribosomal RNA (bases 148-301)
Source: RNAcentral